GGUCCGUUGGUCAAGGGGUUAAGACACCGCCUUUUCACGGCGGUAACACGGGUUCGUAUCCCGUACGGACUA
Molecule: transfer RNA, 72 nt
Filed under: Streptococcus pneumoniae
Lineage: Bacteria; Bacillati; Bacillota; Bacilli; Lactobacillales; Streptococcaceae
Description: tRNA-Glu(ttc)
Rfam family: tRNA
About the family: Transfer RNA (tRNA) molecules are approximately 80 nucleotides in length.
Source: RNAcentral